AAAUUAACUACCGAUUAUUUAACCAUUGCCACUGUGAACAUUAACUAUGUGAAUUCCACAUUGUUAUGAACUGAUACCAAUUAGUUAAUUGACAAUCUCUUAAGAAGAUUAAACAGCUUAAAGCACUAGAAGCAAAGACAUUUCUCUUAUCCCAGGCUAUACUGAUAAAGAAAUGUUAAAUGUGCUGCAUUUAACAGAUGGUUAAUCCACUCACUCUGCUGAUAUUAACUAUCUUGUUGUUAUUAUCUUGGCAGUCUAUUUAGCAAAUAUUUAUUAGCAAUUGUUUCCCGUUAGCUGUCUUUCUCUGUGGAGAAAUAUAUCACCGAUAAUCGACUUCACCUCAGUGAACCAUAUGGAUCUAACAUGACUGUUAUCUGAGCGGCAGCAUAGAGCAUUAGAAGCAAAGAUAUUUCUCUUAUCCCAGGCCAUACUGAUAAAGGACGCUCAUAAAGUAUUUUACAGUAUAUAAACGCUGCCACUAUGUCGGCAUUUAUCAAUAUUUUCUAAUAGAUAAGAAACCGUCUAUUCACAGCUAUAUUAUGUCUAUCUAUCAACAGCCAUUAGUGCUCUUAUCAAUAAGCUUGUAGACAUUUCAUGUGUCUUAUUUGUCUACCACAUCGCUACAUUUAUCUCUAGCUGUUAACCUACGGGUUUGCUCUGCAAUUCUAUAUUGCGCUCUCCCCCUGUCACAGACAUUAGUGGCAUUUACUUUGCCCCUAGUACUUUAUCAAGAGUUAUUCCUACAGUGCUACAAUUAUACCUUUAUCACACAUAUUGUUAUCGUAGCCUGUUCUAUCACUAAUUAGAGCCAUAUUAUCAGACAGUCUCACCUUUCUCCUUAUGUUUUUAGCUUACUUUCUAUAUUAUUUAUUCCAUUUUUAACUUAUCCAUUAAAGGUUAUAUUUUAUGUUCACAAUUAUCUCAAAUACUUCACGUAG
Molecule: non-coding RNA, 938 nt
Organism: Pelobates cultripes (western spadefoot toad)
Lineage: Eukaryota; Metazoa; Chordata; Amphibia; Anura; Pelobatidae
Source: the annotation of a GenBank genome assembly